RNAcentral lists this ribosomal RNA (756 nucleotides) under Galerina luteolosperma. Its description in RNAcentral is "eukaryotic LSU rRNA". It matches the Rfam family "Eukaryotic large subunit ribosomal RNA", at positions 78 to 817 of the family's 3401-position model. The record is from RNAcentral. Lineage: Eukaryota; Fungi; Basidiomycota; Agaricomycetes; Agaricales; Galerinaceae.
CCCUAGUAACUGCGAGUGAAGCGGGAAAAGCUCAAAUUUAAAAGCUGGCGGUCUUAGGCCGUCCGCGUUGUAAUCUAGAGAAGUGUUAUCCGCGCUGGACCGUGUACAAGUCUCCUGGAAUGGAGCGUCAUAGAGGGUGAGAAUCCCGUCUUUGACACGGACUGCCAGGGCUUUGUGAUGCGCUCUCAAAGAGUCGAGUUGUUUGGGAAUGCAGCUCAAAAUGGGUGGUAAAUUCCAUCUAAAGCUAAAUAUUGGCGAGAGACCGAUAGCGAACAAGUACCGUGAGGGAAAGAUGAAAAGAACUUUGGAAAGAGAGUUAAACAGUACGUGAAAUUGCUGAAAGGGAAACGCUUGAAGUCAGUCGCGUUUGCCAGGGAUCAACCUUGCUUUUGCUGGGCGUACUCUCUGGUUGACGGGCCAGCAUCAAUUUCGGUCACUGGAAAAAUUCCAAGGGAAUGUGGCAUCUUCGGAUGUGUUAUAGCCUUUGGUUGCAUGCAGUGGCUGGGAUUGAGGAACUCAGCACGCCGAAAGGCAGGGUCGUCUUUGACCACAUUCGUGCUUAGGAUGCUGGCAUAAUGGCUUUAAUCGACCCGUCUUGAAACACGGACCAAGGAGUCUAACAUGCCUGCGAGUGUUUGGGUGGAAAACCCGAGCGCGUAAUGAAAGUGAAAGUUGAGAUCCCUGUCGCGGGGAGCAUCGACGCCCGGACCAGAGCUUUUGUGACGGAUCUGCGGUAGAGCAUGUAUGUUGGGACCC